CUUCUCUCUGGAAUUUUCAGCCGCCGCCCCUCCCAAAUCCCCUUCUCCCUCACGUCUCUUUCUCUCCAUCCACUGCCGUUCUCAUUUCUUGCACGCAGCAGCAACACAAGCCGCACCCUCCUCCUCCUGCGGUAGGUCGGCGACCCCAUUCCCCUGCUCCUCUCAUGGCUGCCUCUCCUCCAUCCCCUCUCCAUCUUCUCCCAUAGUGAGCUCACCCUAGCCCUGCAUUUUUUUAUUUUAUUUUCCUGUAGCACGCCACCUCCAGCCCUCUUCCAUGGAUGACGAUUUUCUUUCCGGUAGCAAGAAGCCAUGGCGCCCCUCCUCCCCUUGUUUUCCAUGGAAACCCCAACCAUCUACUCCUCCCCAUGGCUGCGCCUCCCGUAGGUUUUCGUACAAUCGCAGCAGCAGCGGAUAUGGAAUCAUCUCAAUGUCGUGCCCACAGCAUGCUCAAUGAAAUGUCGCAGCGAGUUACACCUAGAUCUGUGCAGCCCUGGCCCGCGAUGUCGUGACCCUUGAAAUCUGAGGUCAAUUAGUGAAGAAGCGAGGCCCGUAUGUAUUGCUCGUCAAGUGUUCAGUCGAAGACUUCAAUCAAAUGUCGUCGUGGUUCGUGUGAUGAUCGAGUCAAAUUGCAAUAUGGUACGUUAAUUGAUCACAGAGUAUGGAGAAUAAGAGCUGAAUUGAUCUCAAGGUGAUACUGAUGGUUGCACCUAAGGAUGGAAGAUGCUCGCCAAGUGGUCGUCAUCUAACCACACUAAUCUAGUGUUAUCCCAGGCAAGUCCCGGUGCAUUUGCCACCUCCUUGCUGUUUUAAAUUUUUUAUCACUUAUAUGUUGCAUUAGGUGAUAGGAGUGGAGUGAUGAAACACUUGAUGCAUUGCCAUUCCUUGGAAUUUGAUUAUCUUCCUUGAUACCUGUUUUAUAAAGAGAACUAAUGAGGCUUAGCCCUGCUUAGAAAAACUAAAGGUUGUUUCUUUUAAAAAGAAUGAUGUGGAACACUGUUAUGGGCUUUUGUUUUAGAAAUCAAAGCAAACUUAUGGUGAUGAUUCCCCUUCGGCCCGAAUGGGUUCAUCAUUCAGUAAAGAGUACCCCUGCCAGGUACCAAAAAUGGGGAAAUGGUUUGAAUAAAUCUAGACCAGACGCUGAGUAGGAAAAGUCGCCCAUUUGUGUCGCUUAAGGACCGCAUGAUUGUUGGCCUGCUGAUCUAGGACCCUUUAACUGGCCACAUGCCUCAUCAUGGGUAAGCUUAGCCUCGG
Molecule: RNA transcript, 1251 nt
Organism: Zea mays
Lineage: Eukaryota; Viridiplantae; Streptophyta; Magnoliopsida; Poales; Poaceae
Gene name: protein-like pseudogene
Exons: 3
Source: RefSeq, marked validated